This is a long non-coding RNA of Physcomitrium patens, 2481 nucleotides long. RefSeq lists it as uncharacterized. The record is from RefSeq and is a predicted model, not a curated record. NCBI's taxonomy places the organism in Eukaryota, Viridiplantae, Streptophyta, Bryopsida, Funariales, Funariaceae.
UUCCGUAUGUUUGACACCUCAUUGUUCACCGUGCUUUUGAUGUAGCGUGUCUCGAGUUUGUUUAUUACAUAGUGCCUUGUUAAAAGCGUUUCGGUUUGUCGUUGUGAUAUUUCUGUGGGAUGUUCCACUUCAAAGUGUCUGUUGUGGUCGUUUUAUUUUAACUAGAUAGUGAUGCCAGGAGCGAGCUGCUUGUGUGUUGUUGGCGCAGUGUCAAGCAGCACGGGUUAGAAGCUUUUGGCGGACGCGUCUAUGUUCGGCAAUAGAGUGGCGCCGUGCGGAUUGAUGCUGCUCGCCAAAAUGGUUCUCAUGUCCUCUAGUGUGAUCAGUGCGUCCUCGCGGUGCGGUACGGCCUGCGAGCUUGCAAUUUAGCAGUGUGAUCUACCCCCCCCCCCCUUUUAGCAGAAGCUGGAGAUUGUCUCUAACCGACCGUAACACGUCCGCAGUCCCGGCCAGAGUUCUUGAUGGGCGCAAAUUUUGUCUUUUGUUGCUGCUUGCAAGUCGGUAACCUGAUGAACUUACACCUGGACUUAUUCCGACAAGGGGCGCUCCAGGGGGUGUAGACGCCCUCAGCAGUAAGGCAAGGGGGCUCAUUCGACAGGAGAUUUUCUCGUGAGUAGGCGGAGAGGUAGCAGAUGUAGCAGGAAGUGGAGAGCUGAAGGCGCCCUUUCAAACUUCGUUUCUAAUUUGUCGCUGGCGCAUGAUUGGAGUAGGUGGGUAGAGCUACGGGAUUGGGUGAUAGCCAAGGAUUGAGCAGUGGCUUAGAAACGAGUUAAUAGAUUUGGAUGGAUGCAGACGGGGGAUUUUUUGCAGCUACUGUGCAAGGCGGAGGGCGCUCCUCACAAGGUGUAAUGUGCAAGUGCUAUGCAUGCUGAAUGCUGGUAACAUGCAAGUGCUACGCAUCUCUCAGUUACAUGUGGGCAUGGUAAUCGCUUUCAACAAGAAAAUAGGCGAUUACAAAAAAGAAGAUCCACUCGGAAGCAGUUCUUCAACUGCUUCUUCAAUUGAGGACUUCAACCAGUAACAAGAGGAGUUCUGCUGCUGACCGACCUGAAGAUGAGGACAUCUUCUCUCCAAGCAGGAGGGAGAGAGUCGCAGAGGAAAUCCUAUGCAACACAUCAAAGGAGAUUGUGAAAAGAAGUCGAGGAAGUUCGAGCAUCCACUGUAUUGGACAAAAUUACAGAGUGGUAGAUUCGAAGCUUGGAAAAGAUUCAGUGGAGUUAGUGUCGUAAGUGGAGGUGUAAGUUUCUCGAAGGAUUCUAGCCUAAGGGGAUCUCUUAAGGAGCUUGUAUGAGGCGGAUAUAAGACCCUAAGCAACCAUGCUUAAACGGUUGGCUUUUCUCAAACGGGUUUCUCUUUGAGUGACAGCAAAUUAUCUCUCCAUAAUCCAUAAGGUAAAGAAGAGUAGUGAGGCAAGGCAGGUCUCAGUUAAACAGUUAAAGGAUUCAACGGCCGAGAUAAGUCUCACGAGAGCACAAGUUCUUGCGACCCGCAAUUAGAGAUGCGGAUUUUCUAAGUUGUUUGUUAAGAGAAAUUGGUAGAAACUUGAGGGCGAAAUGCAUAUGAACGUGAGAAGGAGGUAGUAUCCCAUCUCAUUAUUUAUAUUAUAAAGAUCUCAAAGUUUCAAAAGUGAAACAUGGACCAUGCAAGGAAGAAAGCCCUCACGUUGUUUGGAUCUGUAGUGCAUUCAAGGAGAAAAGAGAAUGAAUUCUAUUUAUCAAGUGAAGAUGCCUUUGAGAAGGUAGCUACUAUAUCAAUGAGGACAUUGACCUCCUCAUAGUCUAGGAGGGUAUAAGGGUCUGAAGAGGUAGACCCUUGCACUUGCAAAGAUCGCAUGAGAGUUGAGAGCUACCUAACGCCCAAUGGAUGCUUAAAGCAUGGUGGCAAAAGGAGAGGUUGGGAGGGCCACCUUUCUAGACUCAAGGUGACUUUUAUGUGGAGGUGUGAAGGAAGUCACGAAACCUCUUAAAUAUCUCAGGUACUGGGUGCCCAAGUGGUGCAUAAGACCUAACUCUAGAUCACUUGAGUACCGAAGUGAUUAAAUAGUCCUAGGAAGUGAGUGGAGAGGAGAGGGUCUCGUCAGCCCAUUCUAGUGAGUAGCUCCAAAUGAUGACCUCGAGUUGAGGAGAGACAAUCUACAACUUGCGACGCAUUUCUUCAAAGAAGGAUACAAUGCGAGACGACUGAAGUUGUCCCAUUUGGUAAGACAACUCGACGUUGAGAGCGUCAUGGCGGCCUUAGAUGCUGACCCUAGUUAGGGCUCAAUGUAACUCACCUUGAAGGGAGUUUGGGAUUGGCUGCUCAUUCUCCUCAGCUCAGAGUCAGAUGUACUCGAUGGAUUGCAAAGAGAGCAAGAGCGCUAGUUUGUUUCCGCAAUGUUAGUCCUAUCAAGAGUCCAACGUUGUCUUCCUGAGGUUUUCAGGUAAGUGAAGAUGCCCUGUAGCGAGGCAACGUUACAUAAAUAAAGUGUUUGCUUGUGAAAAA